UACAGAGGGUGCGAGCGUUGUUCGGAAUUAUUGGGCGUAAAGCGCGCGCAGGCGGCUGGAGAAGUCCAUGGGUGAAAGCCCGGGGCUUAACCCCGGGUCUGCAUUCGAUACGGGCAGGCUAGAGUUCGGUAGGGGAGAUCGGAAUUCCUGGUGUAGCGGUGGAAAUGCGCAGAUAUCAGGAGGAACACCGGUGGCGAAGGCGGGUCUCUGGGCCGAUACUGACGCUGAGGAGCGAAAGCGUGGGGAGCGAACAGG
Molecule: ribosomal RNA, 255 nt
Filed under: uncultured bacterium
Lineage: Bacteria
Description: partial 16S ribosomal RNA
Rfam family: Bacterial small subunit ribosomal RNA
Source: RNAcentral